Molecule: ribosomal RNA, 444 nt
Filed under: uncultured bacterium
Lineage: Bacteria
Description: partial 16S ribosomal RNA
Rfam family: Bacterial small subunit ribosomal RNA
Source: RNAcentral
GUAGGGAAUAUUGGGCAAUGGUCGGAAGACUGACCCAGUCAUGCCGCGUGCAGGAAGACGGCCCUCUGGGUUGUAAACUGCUUUUAUCUGGGAAGAAAAAGGCCAUGCGUGGCAAAUUGCCGGUACCAGAUGAAUAAGCACCGGCUAACUCCGUGCCAGCAGCCGCGGUAAUACGGAGGGUGCGAGCGUUGUCCGGAUUUAUUGGGUUUAAAGGGUGCGUAGGCGGCUGAUUAAGUCAGCGGUGAAAGACUUCGGCUUAACCGGAGCAGUGCCGUUGAUACUGGUUGGCUUGAGUGUCGGAGGGGUACAUGGAAUUGAUGGUGUAGCGGUGAAAUGCAUAGAUACCAUCAGGAACACCGAUAGCGAAGGCAUUGUACUGGCCGACAACUGACGCUGAUGCACGAAAGUGUGGGGAUCGAACAGGAUUAGAAACCCUGGUAGUCC